GGGGUUGUAGUUCAGUGGUAGAGCACUUGCCUAGCAUGUGUGAGGCACUGGGUUCAAUCCCCAGCACCA
Molecule: transfer RNA, 69 nt
Filed under: Ictidomys tridecemlineatus (thirteen-lined ground squirrel)
Lineage: Eukaryota; Metazoa; Chordata; Mammalia; Rodentia; Sciuridae
Description: Spermophilus tridecemlineatus (thirteen-lined ground squirrel) tRNA
Rfam family: tRNA
About the family: Transfer RNA (tRNA) molecules are approximately 80 nucleotides in length. Their secondary structure includes four short double-helical elements and three loops (D, anti-codon, and T loops).
Source: Rfam by way of RNAcentral